Molecule: RNA transcript, 871 nt
Organism: Phlebotomus papatasi
Lineage: Eukaryota; Metazoa; Arthropoda; Insecta; Diptera; Psychodidae
Exons: 3
Source: RefSeq, a predicted model, not a curated record
CACUUCCUUGCAAUAUUUUUCAAUCAAUUUAUUCCCGUUCUUUUUAACGGACUGUACGAUGAAGUUUUAUGAUGUUCAUCUCCGCAGUGGAGAAAGAGAAGGUUUUCUGUUCUCUGGGUAACAAUUCAUCUGCGAUAUCAUCGUACCAUAAAAUGCGAAAAACAGGUCCUGGGACUCUUCCGGUUAACCGCGAUUAUACUUACUCCAAAUUCCAAAUUAACAAAGCGUGCUGUGCUGCCGGAGCUGCCUCUAAAACUCAAAUUGCCACUUAUUUCGAAAAGUUGGUCUACACUACAGGGUCUACAGUUCUUUUCGGAAUUAGAAGACAAUUUUGGGCAGUUUUUUUUAUUUUUCUUUUUAACAACACAACGCAGAGAUGUCCGCGAUGGAGCAAAUGAAUUACAAACAGAAGGCAAUUUGGAAAGUUUUGGAAGAGGAGAUUGGUGGUGAGAUUCCUGGUUAUCUGAAGAAAAUGUUCAAUCAUUUCAAUCACACAAGUAUUCGAGGGCUGUCUCUUUUUAAAAUCCCGUUGGACAUGCAUAAAUUGGAAGAAUAUAUGAAGAAAAUGGAACUUUCUUCUUACAACGAUAUAGUUAAUGAAAGGCCAGUUAAGGAAAAGCCAGAGGAUUUUUAUUUCACCAGGCCAGAGUGUCAUAUAUCCAGCUUUGUAAACUGCGCGAAAGAUAAUACAGAGAAAUUAAUUGAGAAGUACGCUGCAGAAGUUAGAGCUAUUGAAUCGAUGGCCAUGAAGAAAGUCUCCAUUACAACUCAAGGAGCCAAUGCCGGACUCGUCUGAUAUCUAAAUUACUACAAAAAUUCAGUUGUAAUUUUGGGAUCUUGAACAUUUUCAAUAAAAAAAAAGAAAAACAGC